AGAAAUCUACGCUUCUGCCAAAAAGAUUGCAAAAAGACCGCAUAUAUAUCAUUAGUACGAUCAACUAUGGAAUAUGGUGCCAUAAUAUGGGACCCAUAUACACAACAUGAUAUAAAUCAAUUAGAAAGAAUACAACGCAGAGCAGCUAGAUUCAUUACAGGCGACUAUAGGACUAGAGAAGAGGGGUCAGUCACCAAAAUGCUAGCCGAGUUAGAACUAGACAAUCUACAAACGAGAAGAACAAGUCAACGGCUGGUAUUUCUGUACAAAGUGGUUGAGGGGUUGGUCCCAGCUAUUAAUCCCGACGAUUUUCUUGUAAAAAGUAAACCUAAGAGGAAAAUCAAACCCAAAACAUUUGACAAUUUUGUAAGUGCCAAUAUAGUGACAAAUUCAGUGAAGAACAAUUCUAAGGCACUAGAAACUAUUCCUAGCAACACCGAUCCAUAUAGAAUCUUCUUCGUCAAGAGUAUCCUACACUGGAACCAACUGGAAGACCGUAUUGUAUGCGCAGAUACAGUUGAGAGCUUCAAGGCUGCUCUUCAACACCGCCAAUAGGUGUCUCUCUCUCCCGUUGAGUAAAAGCCAGAAUUGGUAUCUUCAACGUAUACAUACAGAUACAGAUACAGGUGUGACGUCAUUUUUUUUCCUGUUUUAUUUUACCAAUCCACUUUAUAAUGCGUAACCGUGCAUGAUGGACAACUACGGCUAUUAACUCAUCCGAGAACACGUGUUAUUUACUGAAAUACAAGACUUUUUUCAUGCAUUGCGAUAUUAACAAUUUCGCUUAGUUUUUCAUUUUAUGUACCCAUAUUUAUAGUUAGUGAUAUAAAGUAUUCGCCUUUAUAUUCUGAAAAGUUAUACAAAAUACUUUACAGGAAAAACCGAUGGAUUUACAUUGUAGGAAUACAUGUUCCAGUGCUGCAAACGCUCAGAAAAUAAUUCAGCUGAUAUGAGCCCAGAGUCUAUUUGACAAUUUGUACAGGGACUAUAAAAAAAAUCUUGAAAUAGUUCCGACCAAACAUUCAAAACAUAUAUAUGCAUAAUGCCAUAAUUGACAAGCUGCGUACUUAUGCAUGCAUGUUUACAAUACUGACUGCUGUAUCCAC
This 1106-nucleotide long non-coding RNA is filed under the name Mytilus galloprovincialis (Mediterranean mussel). Lineage: Eukaryota; Metazoa; Mollusca; Bivalvia; Mytilida; Mytilidae. The record is from RNAcentral.